Molecule: ribosomal RNA, 440 nt
Filed under: uncultured bacterium
Lineage: Bacteria
Description: partial 16S ribosomal RNA
Rfam family: Bacterial small subunit ribosomal RNA
Source: RNAcentral
CCUACGGGCGGCAGCAGUGGGGAAUAUUGCACAAUGGGGGAAACCCUGAUGCAGCGACGCCGCGUGAGUGAAGAAGUAAUUCGUUAUGUAACGCUCUAUCAGCAGGGAAGAAAAUGACGGUACCUGCGUAAGAAGCCCCGGCUAACUACGUGCCAGCAGCCGUGGUAAUACGUAGGGUGCAAGCGGUAUCAGGAUUGACUGGGGGUAAAGGGAGCGUAGACGGCAGUGCAAGACUGGAGUGAAAGGCGGGGGCUCAACCCCCGUACUGCUCUGGAAACGGUACGGCUGGAGUGCAGGAGAGGUAAGUGGAAUUCCUAGUGUAGCGGUGAAAUGCGUAGAUAUUAGGAGGAACACCAGUGGCGAAGGCGGCUUACUGGACUGUAACUGACGUUGAGGCUCGAAAGCGUGGGGAGCAAACAGGAUUAGAUACCCUGGUAGUC